RNAcentral lists this long non-coding RNA (10468 nucleotides) under Homo sapiens (human). RNAcentral's name for it is "HSALNT0370227". Lineage: Eukaryota; Metazoa; Chordata; Mammalia; Primates; Hominidae. The record is from RNAcentral.
GUAUUUAAGAAAAUGGUAAAAUACACAUAACAUAAAAUUUACCAUUUUAACCAUUUUUAGUGUACAGUUCAGUGGCAUGAAGUACAUUCACGUUGUGUUCAUGCAGCCCAAACUUGAGAGCUCUUUUUGGAACACUCCAGGAAAGAAGGGCUGUGUACACACUAGGUGCUUAAUAAGUGCUUUCAGAUGACAGUGGGGUGGUGGGAUUAUCGGGGUGGUAGGCUACAUUAUCAUGGAUUAAGUAAGCAUUCCCACUCUGUACUUUCUUAGGCAACUUAACUUCAGUCUGUAAUGCUGAGGCAGACACUAGUGAGCUACGUUUAACACUUCAUUUCUAUUUCUGGGUGAAGCAGGAUGAUGAGUUCAUUGUCUGGUCAAUGCCAAGGGCAACUUCCCCUGCUUUCCUAGGCUCCCAUGGCAGAAUAGAGGAUAUCUGUGAAAAAUCCAAAUUUUCCUCCUAUGUGUGUGUCGGGUAAGGGCAGCCCACAGUUAUGACUGGGGCUCCAGUUUCAAAUGCCGCUGACUCAAGACCGAUCUGGUUGAGAACCAAACAAAUGGGCCUUUUUAUACUGAAGAGGAGAUUUUUCUUACCACGUGUCAACAAAAGAUCUGUAGACAAUCUUGUUAUACAUUUCACACUGCUGACUUCAUAAGUACAACAGCACUCACGACCCCUUUACAUUUUUUGGUGUAUUUGGGUUUAUUUCUGUGGUUACCAUGCACUGAGGGAAGUCCACAAAAGCCAGCCUGUUCAGGGCUGGAGCACGGUGCCAGUGGAAUUUUGGUGAACUUCACAGCGGUAGAAGGGAGUGGACUGGGAGGUGCAGAAGUAGUGAAUUUUGCAGCCGGAAGGAAUCUUAUAUAGACUAAAUCCCCCCUUAUUUAUAGAUGAGGAUAUCAAGACCCAGCAACAGGGGGUGGUUCUGACCUGAGGUCACAUCGCUGGUUAGGAUCUCAGCCCAUCACUGACUUCCUGGUCUCCAGACCCAUUGACUUGCCACUGCUCGGAUCUUCCCAGUCGUUGAACCCCGAGUUCCGUUGAACUAGAUGCCUUGUAAUAUAAUACACCUAACGAUAAGUUUUCCUGAAUUGAAUAUUCUUCCGAAAAUCAUUUAUAGAUUUGGUGACUUCUCCAUUUUUCUUUUCCUGCAUUUGGGUAGAAUCAAUCUUUGGCUCUGAGCAGAUCUUUCUGUUUGAGUGUCUUUCCUAAGAUCUUUAUCUUUCUGGUUGCAUUUUCAGAACCCCCUGCCUCUAUUGUGAUGAGAGCGCUGGGUCCGUUGGCUGUCUCUCUGGGAUGACAGCACGAGUUGAAAAGUGGAGAAUUGAGUCAUCGGCUUUCUGGCGUGGUUUAUUCUGUCCCAGAAUCCCUAAGUCCUGUCUGAUACUAUUUAGUCACUGUCCUUGCAGUGUGAAAAGUGAUUCACAUGUAAGCCAUGGAAAGCGCUCAGCAAGCUCUCUGAGACAGGAAUUCUUGAGGAGGCAAAAGCCAACAGUGUUAAUUGGAGAUAGAGAGAUAGGAAUUCUUGAGGAGGCUGUGAAAAGCCAACAGUGUUAAUUGGAGAUAGACUGCCAUGUGAGAGCCAAACCCCUCAUGUUCUCAGGUAAAAGCUAGGAAAAUGUUAGGCUCUUGUGACAUGCAGUUGUCUCAGCUUCAAAGCUGGAUUAAUUAACUCACGUAAUGCAAAAUGUUUGUUGAGGGCCUAUUUUGGGCCUGGUCCUACUCAAAGUAGCAACAAAAAGCAACUUGAUGCUGUCUUUGACCAGAAGAAGCCAUGAGAAGGUGCCCAGGUACUUAUCAAAGGGCUUGGUUACAUGCCCCUGUUUCCUUGUUACCCUUAAGCAAUGAGAGAGAGAUGCUUGAAGAAGAGCAGAAGCUCUGCUUGCUCUUUAAGCUUGGCGAGGGUUGGGUCUGUUUCCCCUCCUCCAUUCCUGGGCUCCUAGUACCAUGUGGUUGCUCAGUGAAUAUCUGCUCUUUCUUUUUAGCCUUCAUGUGGGAGGCAGUUGUUGUGUAGAGGGAAUAAGACUAGACUUGGGUCCAAUUUACCUGGGUUGAAGUCUUUGCCCCACCACUUUGCUCUUGUCCCUGGACAAGUCACUUGAUGUUGCCCAGCCUCCAUUUUUGUUGCAUCAAUAGAGUGGAGAUGCCAGCGAUUGAUCUUGUGACCUUGGGGGCAUCACUUAACCUCCCUGACCUUGGAUUUCUCAUCUUUAAAAUGAGGGACACUGAAGAUGAGUGUGGAGCACAUGUCGGAACAGACAAUGAAACAGGCAUUCGUUAUUAUCAUUCCCAUGUCAGAAAUGGGCUACUAUCUUACUGUUUUAUCUCAAAUGUAAUUUCAAGAGAAUGAUACAUGGUAACGUGGGUAACUUUCAUUUGUCAAUGUGUGGAUGCGCCGCCCCUCUCCCCGGGGUGUAUUCCUCAGCAGCCCGGCAGGGGAGGGCACAUCCACACAUUGCCUGCUUUAAAUCUGUUGCCCGCUCUAAUUGUGUAGACCCACUACACCCAACCAGCUUGUAUCCCACAGAUGGAAGGUAAUUUGAAUAACUGUUUAAGCCAAAAUGUAAUUGGAGAUAAAAGCUAAAUGUCUAAGGUCUAGCAGUAUCAAGAUGACCAGAAGUGAUGCAUUGGAUCCUCUGCUGCUUCUGAAUCAUCUGGGUUAAUUACCGUACUCUCCACCAGCUUUGGUCAUCAAGGAGCACACAGAAUCAUUGCUUAUAAUUGAAGACUGUGGACAAUGAUCACAUAAGAUCAUCCCUAAGUUACCAGUCCCUUUUAUUCUAAUGGACAUUUGAAGAAAAAGGCCUGAACUUUCAAUAAAAGCGUCGUCUUUUUGCUUUCAAGGCCCUUCAGCUAGUUCAUUAGGGGAUUGAAGCCAGACAUCAUUUGUGACUUUCCCCCUACAUUUGGGGAAUGGGGGAUAGAAUAUCUUUUGUGGUUUUUGUUUACAAGAAGGAAGAUUUCAGGCUUGAGCUGGAGUACGAAAGGAAAUUGAAACUAAAGAUUGGGUUCUGGAUUUGACUAAAGUUUCUAAUAUUGUUCAGCCACAAUAAAGCCAAAAGCGUUCACUGUAUGCUCUGGCUGAUAUAGUAAAGCAUGGGCAUUUAAGAAAAGGGUUAAUUAGGUCAAUUAGAUUAGAUGUUAGGCUGCCUGUUUCUAAAUACCAUGGGAUGUAAUUUAUUUCAGUGGAGCUUUAAGCCCUCAUGCAUGGUAGACAUGUCGAUUAUGGAUAAAUUAAAGGCAAAAUAAAUGAAUAUUCAGUAUGUCAGACACAAUCAGAGAAUGGUAGAAAAAUAUGUAACUUAACUUUCAACCUCUAUAACAGCUAGGAUUGUGCCCCAUGCAAAGCUUCCUGGAAGUUUGGGAGCCCAAUUUUUUCUCUCUACUUGUUGUAAUUUACUUCUAGGAUAUAGCUGGGCCAGGAGGAUUUUGUCAAGAAAUGGGUGCUCAGUCUUCUGAGGCUCCAUACUUCAGUUGGAAGGAAGGGGAAUUUUCAUAUUUCUUGUUUUCUUUUUUUGUAGAGACGGGGUUUCAAGUCCAGGCUGGUCUUGAACUCCUGGCCUCAAGCAAUCCUCCUGCCUUGGCUUCCCAAAGUGCUGGGAUUAAAAGCAUGAGCCACUGCACCUAGCCUGGGUUUUCAUAUUUCUUAUAAUUGUCUCAGAACUUUCAGUUCCAAUACACUCAUCGUGAAAAGCAAGUGAAGCCUUGAAUAUUGAUGUUUAUUGAGAUCAGGACAAAGUGAAAGGCAAAAAUCUGAGUGCCUUUUCUGCCUUUUCUGGUGUUUUUCUGGCCCUCCUGUUCUGUCCUGAUUUCUGUCCCUGAACUCCUGACCUUGGACAUGCAGGAGCUACUUCUCCCAUCAGCCUUUUCUGAGUAGAACCUCUGAUAAAUGGAUGCUUCUUGCAUCCUUAUCCUUGAGGACUUUGGACUCUGAUCCCAAGGGUGUUGGCCUUCAUUAGCUUCAGGGUGUUGACUUGCAUUAGCUUCUGCUGGGGGAACAACCUCAAGCUUGGCCAGGUGGCAGAUAUCUGGAAGUCUUCAUGACAUACUAAUAUUUGUUGAGAUAUUAGUACUAUCUAUGUUUAUAUAUGUAUAUCUGUGUUUAUGAUUCAAGCACAGCUGUGUCAACUGUUUAACAAAGUUUUAUGGGAGAAAGCUUGAUAAUUGAGGAAAAUUUAUCCCUAUUUAUUUAUUUGAACCACAACUUCUUGUAGUUUUUCAGACUUUGAGAAAGCUGGUUAUGAUUUGAUGUAGUGGCCAAACAUUGUCGAGUGACUGGAAACCGUUGAUUUAAAGGAACACUGCCUGGGAUUUCUGGCCUCAGUGAGGGCUGAGGCAGUUAUUUGGUGGGCAGGAGGGUGGGGAGGGUCUUUCUGGGUACUGCUGAAGACCCACUACCUCUGUCUAACCUGACAGAGACUUCCCCAGCUGUUCAUGACAUCCAGGGCAGUGACCUUGGCUGUGUGAGGAGUGGCUCGGGCACAGGUGGUCUCAAAGGGCCUGUUACCCUGGAGCUGCCUCCCUGCAUCUUAGCAAGCCUCAGAAGGCACAGGGCAUUUUGAUGCUGUGGCACUUUGCCAUUUGAAUUUGAGGAGAUUUGUCUUGGCUUGGAAAACAAAGCAUUCAACUUGUAGCAAACUAAAAGAAAAAGGAAGAGAAGUUGAGAACAAACACUCCAUCCAGGAGUUUGGGCUUUGAGAUGGGGAUGGGGAUGGGACGGAGGGAGGUGGAAAGGAAGUAAGGGAUGCACUACGUCAUUAUCGUCAGCAUCAUCAUUCUAUCCUUAUUUCAUCCAGUCUAAGAAGACUAUGGUUGUAGGAUGCAUCCUUAUUUGCGAGAAAUUGAAAUAUGGAAAUGUGCGCCUGAGAGUUGUGGCAGCCAAUGCACUCAGUGCUUUCCGCUCAUGUCCUCCUCUUAAUAACUUUAUCAGGCAGGUUCUCUCAUUAUUUCCAUCUUAUUGGUGAGCAAACUGAGAUGCAGGGGGUUAAGAAGCUUGCAGAAGAUCACUCUGCUGGCCAGUGGAGGGGCCAGGAUUUGAGGCAGGAAUUCUAACACCCUUAGAGCCUACCCUUGGCUACAGUGCUCUGCUCCUGAGCAAUGAAAUCAGCGUUGGGGUAGUCAUGUGUGUGUGCGUGUGUUUGUGCUUGAAGACUUUGAUGUCAGCAUUUUGACCAGAUGUGUCAGACAGAUAUGUUGCCCCUGCCCCAUCACCUUUACUGAGUUACUUAAACCCCAGGCCCCUGUUUUCAUGUUAUUAUCUUUACUAAGGGAUGCAACUGGAGUUUAAGUUCUUUCUGUGCAUUUCACGUCCCCUCUGCACGCCCUUCUCAUGGGGCCAAUCACUGUUGGGAACACUCAGAGAUAAUAAACAUUUCCCUGCUGUAUCAUCCUAGAGGAUCUGUCAUUUAUUAACUGUGUACCGUUGGCAAGAACCUCUCUGCACUUGUUUCCUCAUCUGUAUGAUAGAAAUAAUACAUCUCGGGAUGGUAGUGAGGAAGGGAGGGUUAUAUAAAAUGACUUCCACUGAAGUGCCUGCCUGGCAUUCAGCAUUGUAUAGAGCCGGAACUCCAAAUGUCUUCUGCUUGUACCUGUUUUCCUUCUCCCCAAGUCACCCAGCUCACAGGUGGCCGCAAGCUCUGAACUGGAACUGUUUCUAACACAUCUGGCUGCUUCCCCUAGAGACAGACAUGCAAAUAGCUUCAUAUCCUCUUGUAGCUGUAACCAUUUGCAGACACCUUAUUGUCUUACAGCUUUUUAAUUUGCCUGCACAAAUAGACCUGCCUGGCCAACUUGGAGGGAAUUUUAAUAUCUAAGUGCGGCCACAUACAUAUGUGUUGUAUACUGGGGCCAUGCCUUCCUGCUUAUCAAGGCAACAGAAAUCUUGUACAUGGUUUUCUUACUUUCUGGAUAAAGAUGGGACCUUGUCUCUCCAUUUUGUCAUAACACUUUUUUAUCUUUACUUUAAGAUGAAACCCUCCUUAAAAUUGUGAGUGUUUCCCUGGAUUUCCCUGGGGAGAAACCACUACAGUGGCUUUGAUUCUUUUUCCCCUCCUUGGGAUCAUUCUGAUCCCAUUCCAUAUCUUUGGAGGGUCUAUGGAAUGGGGCUCAGCUUUGCAUCUUGGAUUCACAAGAAGGGAAGCAGGGAGUGAGGGAGAUUGGGGGACCGUGGGCGUGUUUCAUCAGAUGCAGCUCCAAUGGCCUUUUCCCUCUGACCAUAUUUCAACAACCACACUUGACACACAGCCUAGCCUCCCCCAAAGCUCACGUGUGCACCCUCUGCCCCUGUCUGGGGCCUCCCCUAUUCAUUUUCAGAUCGAUUCUGACACCUGCUUUUAUCUCCCUUACCCCUUCAGCACUUCUUGAUGGCAGCAACUUAAGUUAUACUUAAGCAUCCUAUAUUCCUAAAAUAUGCAGAAAUUAAACAAAUGCCUUGUGCUCUCAGUUUUCAAAGAUCUCUCUCUUUUUUUUGAGGAUGGAGUCUCACUCUGUCGCCCAGGCUGGAGUGUAGUGGCGAGAUCUCAGCUCACUGCAACCUCUGCCUCCUGGGUUCAAGCAAGUCUCCUGCCUCAGCCUUCUGAGUAGCUGGGAUUACAGGCACCUGCCACCACACCCAGCUAAUUUUUGUAUUUUUAGUAGAGAUGGGGUUUCACCAUGUUAACCGGGCUGGUCCCAAACUCCCGACCUCAAGUGAUCCGCCCUCCUCGGCCUCCCAAAGUGCUGGGAUUACAGGCGUGAGCCACCGCACCCCGUCCAAAGAUCCCUUGAGUAAAAAUAUUCACAUCAGUGGCUGCAGAUAGAUAAUUGUUUGGUUUUUGUUGGGGAAAUUCCAACUCUUUGUUUAGAACUUGCCUGAUUUUCAGUAGCAUCUCUAACACUUAGAGUUGAUUUGGAUCUGGCAUUAUGUUGAGUCAUCAUUUUUAGUGGGAAGAAUACUAUACAAUGUGAAAGAAAGUGUAAAAAGUACUCUAUUUUAACAAAGUUGUUUUCUUUCUCUUUCUUCUUUUUUUUUUUUUUUCACAGCGUCUUACUCUGUCACCCAGGGUGGAGUGCAGUGGUAGAAUCUACGCUCACUGCAACCUCUGCCUCCCGGGUUCAAGCGCUUCUUAUGCCUCAGCCUCCCCAGUAGCUGGGACUACGGGUAUAUGCCACCAUGCCUGGCUAAUUUUUGUAUUUUUAGUAGAGAUGGGGUUUUACCACGUUAGCCAGACUGGUCUUGAACUCCUGACCUCAGCUGAUCCCCCUUCCUCAGCCUCCCAAAGUGCUGGGAUUACAGGCGUGAGCCACCAUGCCCUGCCUGUUUUCACUUUCAUAUGCUGUCUUUUAUAUGUGUAUGUGUGUUUACACAACCAAGGUCCCGACCCACAUAAUAUUUUGAAUUCUGUUGCUUUAACUUAAAGCAGCGGUUUAAGUGGUUAAUUUAAACUCCAUUUUCAUGUCUUCAUGUUAUUUUAAUAACAGUAGCAUUUUUUGAUUGGUCCAAGAUUAUAGGAAUAAUUUCAUAAAUGAUAGUUCAUAUCCUAGAGUGUUUCCAAUUUUUGGCCACUAGAAGGGAAAUUCUAUAGCAAACAUCUUUGCGCGUCCAUCUUUUAGUUUCUGUUGAAUUAAUCCCUCGGUGUAAUUUCCCAAGAGGGAAAUUGCUGGAUUUGAAGGGUGUAAACAUCAUCAUGGCUCCAGUAAUGCAGUGCACGUGGGGAGAUUUUUAAAAUCAGUGUUCUCUCUGUUGGCAUCUUGUGCCAGAAAAAUGUCAGAAGAAAAUAAUGCGAAUGAACAAUUAAAAAGCUAAUCCCCUCUUUAACUCUUAAAAAUAUGGAAAUGAAAUAGGGGUUUUGGUCCAUGGAUGCUGCCUGGGAAGCCCCAGCUCUGUUACUGCAGGCAUGCCUUUCCUUGGGGGAGAGAUCGUCUUUCCAGCUAUCUUUGCUUCUGGAGAAAAGAUGCUCACAGUACUUGUUCAACAGCCGCACUUCAGCCUCCUGCACUUGCCUCGUACUCACCUUCAGCAAUGCCAAAGCGCUUAGGCCUCCAGCAUACAUCAUCAACGCCUUCUGUCUGUUAACUGUGCAACAGCUCCUCUCUGAUUUGUGAAAUAAUUGUGUGUCCACUGAUUAAUGUGUAUGUUUUAAAACAGUGAGAUUUGGGUUGGAAUAGAAGAGGGUUUUGAGAUACUCUCAAAUAAUUAGAAAGACAAGGGAGUGGACAAUUAGAAAUGGGAACUAAUUAUGGCUUAUUGAGCACUUACCUUGGGCCAGGCCCUGCUCGAAACACGUGACAUGGAUGAACUUAUUCAGUCCCCACAACAACUCUACUAGGUAGGCAAAUUGUUCUCCCCAUUUUAUAGGUGAGAUAACUGAGGCCAAGAGAUUGAGUAUAUUGUCAAGGACACACAAGAUGGGAACCCAUGUGUAUCAGUUUGCUAGGGCUGCCAUGACAAAUUCCCACACACUGGGUGGCUUUAAACCACAGAAAUUUGUUCUCCCAUGGUUCUAAAGGGAGACCAGAGGUCCAAAAUCAAGGUGUCAGCAGGGCCGUGUUCCCUCUGAAGGCCCUAGGGAAGAAUCCCUCCUUGCCUCUUCCUGGCUUCUGGUGGCUCCCAGCAAUCCUAGGCAUGUCCUGGCCUGUAGCUGCAUCACUUGAAUCUCUGCCUCUGUCUUCCAUGGCCCUCUUCCCUGUGUGUGUCUCUGUGGGUCCCCUCCUCUUCUCAUAAGGACACUAGUCUGACCUCACUUAAUUUAACUCAUUAUAUCUGCAAAGACUCUAUUUCCGGAGGUCACCUUCUGAGGUUCCCAGUGGAUAUGUAUUUGGAAGGGACACUGUGCAAUCCACUAUAUCACGGUCAUAGCACGUCACAGUGGAUUGUACACUGCAAUCCAUGGUUGCAGGUCCCUAGUGGAUAUGAAUUUUGGAGGGACACUGUGCAGUCCACUGUACCAUGGUCAUAGCCAGGACCUGUUCCUGCCUUCUAGGACAAGAGUGGAGAAAAGGGAAAGAAAGCAGAAGCCUGGGUAGGCUCAGGGUUUGCCCAGGUGCUCUUGAGAUGGACAAAGAAUGGGCGAAAAUCCCUUGGGCUUUUAAAAGGUUGUGUGGCCGGGAGGGACUGGAGCCCUGGGCGAGAUGCCUGCCUGAGUGAGGUGGGGUUGCUGGGCACAGUCAGACUGUGUGAAGACUGUGUGAGUGUGAGAUUAUCCUGGGCAGAACUAAACAGCUUUCUGGACUCAAGGGGAGGAGGCAGGUUUGGAGUUAAUGCCCCGCCAUGCUUGAGUAGCUUAAAUAAAGGUUACCUGGACUAUUUCCUUUCUCCAGCAGCUACGUUACUCUGUCUCUGAAGCCAUGGGGGAACCCCAGAGGCAGACAUCAGCGUGUCCAGGUUGUAAAAUCAGACUUGGAGCGCCAGGCAGGGAAGAAAGCACUUCGGCAUGUUUUCUGCCUCACUGCAAAAUAAAUGUAUAAGCAUUCCAGGGAAACUGCAGGGAGAGGGGAACAUUCUUCAGCAGGCAAGGAAGGAUAAAUGCAAAGUAAACGUAUAAGGCUUAUAAUUACUCAUUUGAAGUGUGUAAAAUGUAAUUAAUAUGAUCUGUGUUGCAGUGCUGUCUCUCUUGUUUUAUUUAAGUGAACAUAAAAUGUAAUUUAUGAGGACUUCCCCAGGUUAACUGCCAAUAUCAAUUCCUUGAACUGCGUUUUUUCCACAGCGUCUUAAGUUUCUCAGCAAUAAAGUUCUUCUACUACUGUGGGGGUUUUCAGGGACAAUUUAUGCUGAGGUUUGGGGUAGGGGCUGGUUCUCCUUUACCCCAGACACUCACACCCUCCGCCCCUUAGGCCAGCCUGAAGAUGCCAAUUCCUAUCAGUUAUCUUCUCUGUUAAUGUGAGGUCUUUUUCAUGUCACUGUGAUGACAGUGGUAUACAGAAAAGGCUUCUAAUAAAAUUAAACUCACAAAUCUAGGAAGCUACCUUUAAAUUUCGAAUCUUACUCUUCUAUUCAUAAGCCUUCAACAGAUACAUUUAGGGUGGCCUUUAAUUAAUAUUUGGUCCUUUAACACACUUAAUCUUCUGAUAACAAUUUAAAUUGCAUCUAAAAUGUCAUCUAUUUACAGUUAUUUUUGAAUACUUCAUUUGCCCAAUUAAUGAACAAGCAUUUAUUUAUUCAUUUGUUUAUUUAUUUUGAGAUAGGGUCUCAAGCGGUUGCCCAGACUAGAGUGCAGUGGCAGGAUCAUGGCUCACUGCAGCCUCAACCUCCUGGGCUCAAGCUGUCCUCCCACUUCAGCCUCCCCAGUGGCUGGGACUACAGGCGUGCACCACCACACCUUGGUGGUGUUUGUAUUUUUUGUAGAGAUGGGGUUUUGUCCUGUUGCCCAGGCAGGUCUCGAACACCUGGGCUCAAGCAAUCCACCCGCCUUAGCCUUCCAAAGUGCUGGGAUUACAUGUGUUCACCAUCCUGCCCGGCUCAAGUAUUUACAUAAUAGAAAUCUAAUGCCUCAA